CGCGUAGGCGGUUUGUUAAGUCGGAUGUGAAAUCCCCGGGCUCAACCUGGGAAUUGCAUUCGAUACUGGCAGGCUAGAGUAUGGUAGAGGGAAGUGGAAUUCCAGGUGUAGCGGUGAAAUGCGUAGAUAUCUGGAGGAACAUCAGUGGCGAAGGCGACUUCCUGGACCAAUACUGACGCUGAGGUGCGAAAGCGUGGGGAGCAAACA
Molecule: ribosomal RNA, 207 nt
Filed under: uncultured bacterium
Lineage: Bacteria
Description: partial 16S ribosomal RNA
Rfam family: Bacterial small subunit ribosomal RNA
Source: RNAcentral